RNAcentral lists this ribosomal RNA (407 nucleotides) under uncultured bacterium. Its description in RNAcentral is "partial 16S ribosomal RNA". It matches the Rfam family "Bacterial small subunit ribosomal RNA", at positions 28 to 526 of the family's 1533-position model. The record is from RNAcentral.
GACGAACGCUGGCGGCGUGCUUAACACAUGCAAGUCGAACGAAGUGGCGAACGGGUGAGUAACGCGUAAUCAACCUGCCCUUCAGAGGGGGACCACAGUUGGAAACGACUGCUAAUACCGCAUACUGAAGGAGGGGAUUGCGUCUGAUUAGCUAGUUGGAGGGGUAACGGCCAACCAAGGCGAUGCUCAGAAGCCGGUCGUAUAGGAUGUACGGCAACAUUGGGACUCAUACACGGCCAAGACUCAUACGGGAGGCAGCAGGGGGAAAUCUUCCGAAAUGGACGAAAGGCGGACGGAGCAACUCCGCGUGAGUGAUGACGGCCUUCGCGUUGUAAAGCUCUGUUAAUCGGGACGCGGUACCGGAAUAGAAAGCCACGGCUAACUACGUGCCAGCCGCCGCGGUAUAC